This 24-nucleotide non-coding RNA is filed under the name Arabidopsis thaliana (thale cress). Lineage: Eukaryota; Viridiplantae; Streptophyta; Magnoliopsida; Brassicales; Brassicaceae. The record is from RNAcentral.
GGGAUGUCAAAAUGGGUAACUCAA